RNAcentral lists this ribosomal RNA (200 nucleotides) under uncultured bacterium. RNAcentral's name for it is "partial 16S ribosomal RNA". It matches the Rfam family "Bacterial small subunit ribosomal RNA", at positions 29 to 256 of the family's 1533-position model. The record is from RNAcentral.
AACGAACGCUGGCGGCAUGCCUAACACAUGCAAGUCGAACGAACUCUUCGGAGUUAGUGGCGCACGGGUGCGUAACGCGUGGGAAUCUGCCCUUGGGUACGGAAUAACUCAGAGAAAUUUGUGCUAAUACCGUAUAAUGUCUUCGGACCAAAGAUUUAUCGCCCAAGGAUGAGCCCGCGUAAGAUUAGCUAGUUGGUGGG